RNAcentral lists this ribosomal RNA (397 nucleotides) under uncultured bacterium. RNAcentral's name for it is "partial 16S ribosomal RNA". It matches the Rfam family "Bacterial small subunit ribosomal RNA", at positions 338 to 732 of the family's 1533-position model. The record is from RNAcentral.
CCUACGGGUGGCUGCAGUGAGGAAUAUUGGUCAAUGGGCGCGAGCCUGAACCAGCCAAGUCGCGUGAGGGAUGACGGUCCUACGGAUUGUAAACCUCUUUUGCCGGGGAGCAAGCGUUCGUUCGUGAACGCACGUCGAGAGUACCCGGAGAAAAAGCAUCGGCUACCUCCGUGCAAGCAGCCGCGGUAAUACGGAGGAUGCGAGCGUAAUCCGGAUUUAUUGGGUUAAAAGGGUGCGUAGGCGGGAUGCCAAGUCAGCGGGAAAAAUGCGGGGCCAAACGCGGUCGAGCCGUUGAAACUGGCAGUCUUGAGUGGGGGAGAGGGAUGCAGAAUGCGUGGUGUAGCGGUGAAAUGCAUAGAUAUCACGCAGAACUCCGAUUGCGAAGGCAGCCUACCGG